RNAcentral lists this ribosomal RNA (460 nucleotides) under uncultured bacterium. RNAcentral describes it as "partial 16S ribosomal RNA". It matches the Rfam family "Bacterial small subunit ribosomal RNA", at positions 338 to 795 of the family's 1533-position model. The record is from RNAcentral.
CCUACGAGGUGCAGCAGUGAGGAAUAUUGGUCAAUGGGCGCGAGCCUGAACCAGCCAAGUAGCGUGAAGGAUGACUGCCCUACGGGUUGUAAACUUCUUUUAUAAAGGAAUAAAGUGCGGCACGUGUGACUUUUUGUAUGUACUUUAUGAAUAAGGAUCGGCUAACUCCGUGCCAGCAGCCGCGGUAAUACGGCGGAUCCGAGCGUUAUCCGGAUUUAUUGGGUUUAAAGGGAGCGUAGAUGGGUUGUUAAGUCAGUUGUGAAAGUUUGCGGCUCAACCGUAAAAUUGCAAUUGAUACUGGCAGCCUUGAGUACAGUUGAGGGAGGCGGAAUUCGUGGGGUAGCGGUGAAAUGCGUAGAGAUCAGGAGGAACACCGGUGGCGAAGGCGGCCUGCUGGACUACAACUGACGUUGAGGCCCGAAAGCGUGGGGAGCAAACAGGAUUAGAUACCCGAGUAGUC